Ailuropoda melanoleuca (giant panda) is the source of this 104-nucleotide small nucleolar RNA. Ensembl annotates it as small nucleolar RNA U13. Lineage: Eukaryota; Metazoa; Chordata; Mammalia; Carnivora; Ursidae. The record is from Ensembl.
AUCCUUUUGUAGUUCAGAAGCAUGAUGAUGGGGUGUUCACACCAUUGUGUGACAUGUGCCUUCCUCAAACCUUGUUUUGACCAUGGCACAUUAUCCGUCUGAUG